GAGGGUGUAGCUCAGUGGUAGGGUGCAUGCUUAGCAUGCACAAGGUGCUGGGUUCAAUCCUCAGCACCUCCA
This 72-nucleotide transfer RNA is filed under the name Camelus bactrianus (Bactrian camel). It matches the Rfam family "tRNA". From Rfam's summary of the family: Transfer RNA (tRNA) molecules are approximately 80 nucleotides in length. The record is from Rfam by way of RNAcentral. Lineage: Eukaryota; Metazoa; Chordata; Mammalia; Artiodactyla; Camelidae. RNAcentral also lists the same sequence under 2 other names.